GAAUUCGCCCUUAGUUUGAUCCUGGCUCAGGAUGAACGCUGGCGGCGUGCUUAACACAUGCAAGUCGAACGAAGCACUUUAUUUGAUUUCCUUCGGGACUGAUUAUUUUGUGACUGAGUGGCGGACGGGUGAGUAACGCGUGGGUAACCUGCCUUGUACAGGGGGAUAACAGUUGGAAACGGCUGCUAAUACCGCAUAAGCGCACAGCAUCGCAUGAUGCAGUGUGAAAAACUCCGGUGGUAUAAGAUGGACCCGCGUUGGAUUAGCUAGUUGGUGAGGUAACGGCCCACCAAGUCGACGAUCGGUAGCCGGACUGAGAGGUUGAACGGCCACAUUGGGACUGAGACACGGCCCAGACUCCUACGGGAGGCAGCAGUGAGGGAUAUUGGUCAAUGGGGGAAACCCUGAACCAGCAACGCCGCGUGAGGGAUGACGGCCUUCGGGUUGUAAACCUCUGUCCUCUGUGAAGAUAAUGACGGUAGCAGAGGAGGAAGCUCCGGCUAACUACGUGCCAGCAGCCGCGGUAAUACGUAGGGAGCAAGCGUUGUCCGGAUUUACUGGGUGUAAAGGGUGCGUAGGCGGUUCGGCAAGUCAGAAGUGAAAUCCAUGGGCUUAACCCAUGAACUGCUUUUGAAACUGUCGAACUUGAGUGAAGUAGAGGUAGGCGGAAUUCCCGGUGUAGCGGUGAAAUGCGUAGAGAUCGGGAGGAACACCAGUGGCGAAGGCGGCCUACUGGGCACCAACUGACGCUGAGGCUCGAAAGUGUGGGUAGCAAACAGGAUUAGAUACCCUGGUAGUCCACACCGUAAACGAUGAUUACUAGGUGUUGGAGGAUUGACCCCUUCAGUGCCGCAGUUAACACAAUAAGUAAUCCACCUGGGGAGUACGACCGCAAGGUUGAAACUCAAAGGAAUUGACGGGGGCCCGCACAAGCAGUGGAGUAUGUGGUUUAAUUCGACGCAACGCGAAGAACCUUACCAAGUCUUGACAUCCCUUGACGAACAUAGAAAUAUGUUUUCUCUUCGGAGCAAGGAGACAGGUGGUGCAUGGUUGUCGUCAGCUCGUGUCGUGAGAUGUUGGGUUAAGUCCCGCAACGAGCGCAACCCUUACUGUCAGUUACUACGCAAGAGGACUCUGGCAGGACUGCCGUUGACAAAACGGAGGAAGGUGGGGAUGACGUCAAAUCAUCAUGCCCUUUAUGACUUGGGCUACACACGUACUACAAUGGCGUUAAACAAAGAGAAGCAAGACCGCGAGGUGGAGCAAAACUCAGAAACAACGUCCCAGUUCGGACUGCAGGCUGCAACUCGCCUGCACGAAGUCGGAAUUGCUAGUAAUCGUGGAUCAGCAUGCCACGGUGAAUACGUUCCCGGGCCUUGCACACACCGCCCGUCA
This 1395-nucleotide ribosomal RNA is filed under the name uncultured bacterium. RNAcentral's name for it is "bacterial SSU rRNA". It matches the Rfam family "Bacterial small subunit ribosomal RNA". The record is from RNAcentral.